GACGAACGCUGGCGGCGCGCCUAACACAUGCAAGUCGAACGAGCGAGAGAGAGCUUGCUUUCUCAAGCGAGUGGCGAACGGGUGAGUAACGCGUGAGGAACCUGCCUCAAAGAGGGGACAACAGUUGGAAACGACUGCUAAUACCGCAUAAGCCCACGACCCGGCAUCGGGUUGAGGAAAAAGGAGCAAUCCGCUUUGAGAUGGCCUCGCGUCCGAAUUAGCUAGUUGGAGGGGUAACGGCCCACCAAGGCGAUGAUCAGUAGCCGGUCUGAGAGGAUGAACGGCCACAUUGGGACUGAGACACGGCCCAA
This 311-nucleotide ribosomal RNA is filed under the name uncultured bacterium. RNAcentral describes it as "bacterial SSU rRNA". It matches the Rfam family "Bacterial small subunit ribosomal RNA", at positions 28 to 334 of the family's 1533-position model. The record is from RNAcentral.